UACAGAGGUGGCAAGCGUUGUUCGGAAUUACUGGGCGUAAAGGACGCGUAGGCGGCCCUCUAAGUCCCGUGUGAAAGCCCCCGGCUCAACCGGGGAACUGCACGGGAAACUGGAAGGCUUGAGUUCGGGAGAGGGAAGCGGAAUUCCGGGUGUAGCGGUGAAAUGCGUAGAUAUCCGGAGGAACACCGGUGGCGAAGGCGGCUUCCUGGACCGACACUGACGCUGAGGCGCGAAAGCUAGGGGAGCAAACGGG
This 253-nucleotide ribosomal RNA is filed under the name uncultured bacterium. RNAcentral describes it as "partial 16S ribosomal RNA". It matches the Rfam family "Bacterial small subunit ribosomal RNA", at positions 524 to 776 of the family's 1533-position model. The record is from RNAcentral.